GGCCACGUGGCGGAGUGGUGACGCAGCGGAUUGCAAAUCCGUAUACCCCGGUUCGAUUCCGGGCGUGGCCU
RNAcentral lists this transfer RNA (71 nucleotides) under Tepidicaulis marinus. It matches the Rfam family "tRNA". From Rfam's summary of the family: Transfer RNA (tRNA) molecules are approximately 80 nucleotides in length. The record is from Rfam by way of RNAcentral. Lineage: Bacteria; Pseudomonadati; Pseudomonadota; Alphaproteobacteria; Hyphomicrobiales; Parvibaculaceae.